Molecule: long non-coding RNA, 1362 nt
Organism: Phyllostomus discolor (pale spear-nosed bat)
Lineage: Eukaryota; Metazoa; Chordata; Mammalia; Chiroptera; Phyllostomidae
Exons: 3
Source: RefSeq, a predicted model, not a curated record
GUGCGGCAUGCCGCCCCCUGCUGGUAGGAGGACCCACGCGGGCCUUCGCCUUUUUGCCGCAAAUCCUUAAUGCUCCUGGCUGAGGAUGAUCCCACUGCGACGGACGGUAAGCAGUAAUAGGGACGAUUACCUGUAGGAGGCUUUCAUUUUUGUGGGCUAAGAAAUUGUUUCAUAAUGUGUGUUACUUUUGUAAGCAGGAAAAAAGUUUAAAAACUAAAUAGAAAGAAUUUGCCCUGGAGCUCUUUGCCCCCUCCGGGACUCUGCCUCCUGAACUACUCUCAUCCUGGUCUGCAACAGAGUCCUCCCAGGAAGCCUUGCCGUAGCGCUCCAAGCCUGGGUUAGGGGCCCUUCUUCGGCCUUCCUACAACGCCUUCCUACCUGCUUCGGUCCGCCCUGAACUGUAAACCUUUGAAUAUCCAGCACCUAGCGCGGUGCUGACAUUCUGUAAAAUGUACUUUCAGCAUAUAGGGAGGACCUGAGAUACACAUCUGAAAACCCAUCAAGUUUUUGGGAGAAACAACAUAAAUUAUUGUGGCUGAUUCUCCCCUUGGUACGUGACAGUAAAGCCAACUUCUGGCUUCUCCCUGUCUCCUGGGUCAACUUCUUCAAAGGAAUAUUGCAAAUAAAAAAGAAUCUGCAAUCUGUGUAGGGCUCCAUUUGAAUGGCUAAUCUCUGCUCUGUCUGGAUCAGCUAAAGCAGCUGAACUGGGGCCACAUUUAAGAUGGCUCAUUCACAUGGCUGGUGAGUUGAAGCUUGCUGUUGUGCAGGAGCUUGUGGCCUCCCUCUGUGAUAUCUUGUGCUUCUUCUCUGCAGAAUGGUGGUGAGGUUCUAAGACCAAGUGUUUCAGGUGAGUAAGGUAGUCAUGCAUUAUGGCACCUGUGAUUUCUACAGCACUCUACUGGUCACGGCAGUCACAAAGGCUCACCCACAGGGAGGGGAGACAUGGAUUUCACCUCUGAAUGGGAGGGUGGCAUGUUUCUAGAAGCACAUGAAUGAGAGAUGUUGUUGAAGGCACCUUUUAAAAAUACAAUCUGCUAUACUGAUUUAAACCAAUCCUUGAGAAACUGUACAAUAAUUAUAACAACAAAUACAGUGGUAUGUAUGAAACUGUGCUACAUAAUAAUUGAACUUUUCCUGGAUCAUGUUAAAAAGGUAUGCCUAGAGGCUCUCAGAAAAAAAAACAAUCCGUUUCUCUCUGGACCUUACCUCUGGCACUGCCUCCUGCACCUCUUCUCCAGCUUCCAUAACUGCUUUUCAAAAGGGAUUUUAACCAGGACUUAUUUUGCUUUUUUCCCCUCUAUCAUAAAACAAUUAUAUUUUUAAAAUACCAGUAUGAAAGCCAAUAAAUGCAUUCUGACCACA